GCCGAAAUGGUGGAAUAGGUAGACACGUAGGACUUAAAAUCCUAUGACCGUAAGAGGUCGUGCGGGUUCGAUUCCCGCUUUCGGUA
Molecule: transfer RNA, 86 nt
Filed under: Crassvirales sp.
Lineage: Duplodnaviria; Heunggongvirae; Uroviricota; Caudoviricetes; Crassvirales
Description: tRNA-Leu
Rfam family: tRNA
About the family: Transfer RNA (tRNA) molecules are approximately 80 nucleotides in length. Their secondary structure includes four short double-helical elements and three loops (D, anti-codon, and T loops). Further hydrogen bonds mediate the characteristic L-shaped molecular structure. tRNAs have two regions of fundamental functional importance: the anti-codon, which is responsible for specific mRNA codon recognition, and the 3' end, to which the tRNAs corresponding amino acid is attached (by aminoacyl-tRNA synthetases). tRNAs cope with the degeneracy of the genetic code in two manners: having more than one tRNA (with a specific anti-codon) for a particular amino acid; and 'wobble' base-pairing, i.e. permitting non-standard base-pairing at the 3rd anti-codon position.
Source: RNAcentral